This 253-nucleotide ribosomal RNA is filed under the name uncultured bacterium. Its description in RNAcentral is "partial 16S ribosomal RNA". It matches the Rfam family "Bacterial small subunit ribosomal RNA", at positions 524 to 776 of the family's 1533-position model. The record is from RNAcentral.
UACGGAGGAUCCAAGCGUUAUCCGGAAUCAUUGGGUUUAAAGGGUCCGCAGGCGGGUUAAUAAGUCAGUGGUGAAAGUCUGCAGCUCAACUGUAGAAUUGCCAUUGAUACUGUUAACCUUGAGUAAUUAUGAAGUGGUUAGAAUAUGUAGUGUAGCGGUGAAAUGCAUAGAUAUUACAUAGAAUACCGAUUGCGAAGGCAGAUCACUAAUAAUUUACUGACGCUGAUGGACGAAAGCGUAGGUAGCGAACAGG